RNAcentral lists this transfer RNA (85 nucleotides) under Bacteroidales bacterium. Its description in RNAcentral is "tRNA-Leu". It matches the Rfam family "tRNA". Rfam says of the family: Transfer RNA (tRNA) molecules are approximately 80 nucleotides in length. Their secondary structure includes four short double-helical elements and three loops (D, anti-codon, and T loops). The record is from RNAcentral. Lineage: Bacteria; Pseudomonadati; Bacteroidota; Bacteroidia; Bacteroidales.
GCCCAGAUGGCGGAAUUGGUAGACGCGUUGGUCUCAAACACCAAUGCUGCAAGGCGUGCCGGUUCGAUCCCGGCUCUGGGUACCA